Molecule: ribosomal RNA, 446 nt
Filed under: uncultured bacterium
Lineage: Bacteria
Description: bacterial SSU rRNA
Rfam family: Bacterial small subunit ribosomal RNA
Source: RNAcentral
GGUAUGUAAACUUCUAUCAGCAGGGAAGAAAAUGACGGUACCUGACUAAGAAGCCCCGGCUAACUACGUGCCAGCAGCCGCGGUAAUACGUAGGGGGCAAGCGUUAUCCGGAUUUACUGGGUGUAAAGGGAGCGUAGACGGAUGGACAAGUCUGAUGUGAAAGGCUGGGGCUCAACCCCGGGACUGCAUUGGAAACUGCCCGUCUUGAGUGCCGGAGAGGUAAGCGGAAUUCCUAGUGUAGCGGUGAAAUGCGUAGAUAUUAGGAGGAACACCAGUGGCGAAGGCGGCUUACUGGACGGUAACUGACGUUGAGGCUCGAAAGCGUGGGGAGCAAACAGGAUUAGAUACCCUGGUAGUCCCACGCGGUAAACGAUGAAUGCUAGGUGUCGGGGAGCAAAGCUCUUCGGUGCCGCCGCACACGCAUUAAGCAUUCCACCUGGGGAGUA